GUUUUAAUAAUUUAAUCAAAAUAUUGGUCUUGUAAAUCAAAAAUAAGUAUACUUUUAAAACU
Molecule: transfer RNA, 62 nt
Filed under: Siemssenius fulvipennis
Lineage: Eukaryota; Metazoa; Arthropoda; Insecta; Coleoptera; Chrysomelidae
Description: tRNA-Thr
Source: RNAcentral